This 120-nucleotide transfer RNA is filed under the name Sclerotinia borealis F-4128. It matches the Rfam family "tRNA". From Rfam's summary of the family: Transfer RNA (tRNA) molecules are approximately 80 nucleotides in length. Their secondary structure includes four short double-helical elements and three loops (D, anti-codon, and T loops). Further hydrogen bonds mediate the characteristic L-shaped molecular structure. tRNAs have two regions of fundamental functional importance: the anti-codon, which is responsible for specific mRNA codon recognition, and the 3' end, to which the tRNAs corresponding amino acid is attached (by aminoacyl-tRNA synthetases). tRNAs cope with the degeneracy of the genetic code in two manners: having more than one tRNA (with a specific anti-codon) for a particular amino acid; and 'wobble' base-pairing, i.e. permitting non-standard base-pairing at the 3rd anti-codon position. Lineage: Eukaryota; Fungi; Ascomycota; Leotiomycetes; Helotiales; Sclerotiniaceae. The record is from Rfam by way of RNAcentral.
GGACAGAUGGCCGAGUGGUUAUGGCGUGUGACUCAAGCUUAAUAUACAUAGUUUGAUUGAUUUAAUCAAUCGGCAUUCUCAUGGGCUUAGCCCGCGGGGGUUCGAAUCCCCCUCUGUUCA